GAUGAACGCUGGCGGCGUGCCUAAUACAUGCAAGUCGAGCGAACGGACGAGAAGCUUGCUUCUCUGAUGUUAGCGGCGGACGGGUGAGUAACACGUGGAUAACCUACCUAUAAGACUGGGAUAACUUCGGGAAACCGGAGCUAAUACCGGAUAAUAUUUUGAACCGCAUGGUUCAAAAGUGAAAGACGGUCUUGCUGUCACUUAUAGAUGGAUCCGCGCUGCAUUAGCUAGUUGGUAAGGUAACGGCUUACCAAGGCAACGAUGCAUAGCCGACCUGAGAGGGUGGUCGGCCAGACUGGCAGUGAGACACGGUCCAGACUCCUACGGGAGGCAGCAGUAGGGAAUCUUCCGCAAUGGGCGAAAGCCGAACGGAGCAACGCCGCGGGAGUGAUGAAGGUCUUCGGAUCGGAAAACUCUGUUAUUAGGGGAGAACAUAUGUGUAAGUAACUGUGCACAUCUUGACGGUACCUAAUCAGAAAGCCACGGCUAACUACGUG
Molecule: ribosomal RNA, 497 nt
Filed under: uncultured bacterium
Lineage: Bacteria
Description: partial 16S ribosomal RNA
Rfam family: Bacterial small subunit ribosomal RNA
Source: RNAcentral